UACGGGGGGGGCAAGCGUUGUUCGGAAUUACUGGGCGUAAAGGGUUCGUAGGUGGCCAACUAAGUCAGACGUGAAAUCCCUCAGCUUAACUGGGGAACUGCGUCUGAGACUGGAUGGCUUGAGUGCAGGAGAGGAACGCGGAAUUCCAGGUGUAGCGGUGAAAUGCGUAGAUAUCUGGAGGAACACCGGUGGCGAAGGCGGCGUUCUGGACUGCUACUGACACUGAGGAGCGAAAGCGUGGGGAGCGAACAGG
RNAcentral lists this ribosomal RNA (253 nucleotides) under uncultured bacterium. Its description in RNAcentral is "partial 16S ribosomal RNA". It matches the Rfam family "Bacterial small subunit ribosomal RNA", at positions 524 to 776 of the family's 1533-position model. The record is from RNAcentral.